AGUGGCCUAACACAAUCAACUAAGGUUAAUAGGUACAUGUUGGGGGGAUUGGGUUGGGUGAUUCGUACCCUCUAUACUGUGGGACGUCUAAGUCAACAUAAUGAACAAUAUGACUUCACACUUUCGCUCCGUCCUGCCCAGCUGCAUGUUUCAUGGCUCCUGCUAGAGUGUUGUGGCAGAUGAAUUCGCGAAACUAUCAGUCCAACCACGACCAAUCCCACCAUUUCAAGAGACUGGUUCUAUCCCAGACAGAAAGAUAGCCGCAGCAAACUGACACAAGAGUGGAUGAAGGAAUAGACAUCGACUGAAAGAGAUACCGCCUUCGCAACAUCGACUCGACACUGCAUUAUAUAUGGUUGGUGUUGAGAUAUCAAUAGCCGCUCAAGAAAAAAAGCAAUGCGGUGUUUAGCCGGCGGCCGAAUAUGUCUUUCUUCCCUACUAUUCUAAUCUCCCAUCCGUGGCAUUUUUGACUCGAAACAGCCCAAGAGAUCCAACCUACCUGGAGGGUUAGCCGCGUUAUUGGCUUCAUGACGGGUGGUGUGCAGACAACUGUUGAAGAUUGCCCCACUGCCACAUUACUAGCGAACAAGCUCCAAAGGCCAGAGCAAGGCUAUCAUUUGACUAUUAUCCUCGAUGGAGGAUGCCUUGUUCCUAGAUCGCCAGCAUAGCAACUAUGAAGAUUAGAUGGCUAUUGACCAGCACAGCGACUACACAGCUGCCAAUUAGAUAUCGACAUCUUGAUAUCUCUGAUGUUGUCAAUGCGCGGCAUCCGCGCCCAGCUCGCAAUUAGAAAGAUGGGAAUUGUUUACUCCGAUGGGAUCAGGCAUUGAGAGCUCUUUGUGCUCCCAAUAUCUUCUGACAGACGGAACUUUGCAUUCAAAAGUCGUGAAUUAUUAUUUAUUUACAUGAUUAGAUAUAACCGAAAAUUAGAGCCAUUGACGCAUGAUUAAGUUUUCAUUUCAACACUCCCGAAUCAUGGGAAAUUUUGCAAAAUUCAUAACCCCAGGGCCUUCAGAAUCUCCGUCCCCACAGCGGUGGCACUAGCUGGGUUCUGUCCAGUGAUCAAAGGAGCGCCAGUCGCAGCCACUUUGGCAACGACGACUUUCUCCCCCCAAGGCAAAUCAGCCUUUACGUAUCCACCAUUUGAUAUUUUAUUCAUCUCGGUUUCAAGUGCAUAUGGCAGGUAUUGGGACAUUUUGACCUGAUCCUCCUCCUCGUUCGAAAAUCCGGUCGCCUGUGCUUCCGCAAGUACAGGCUUCCCACCAGCAGUUGCCUUUAGAAAGACAGCAGGGCCAUGGCACACGGCGGAUACAACUUUCCGCGCUUCCGCAAAUUCCUUAAUUAGGCGGAGGGAGUCUGCAUCUUCAUAUAGAUCAAAUAGGGCUAAGUAUUUGGGAAACCAAUAUUAGUUGGCCUAUAGGUCGAGAAUGAAACCAGACGAAACAGACAGGGAAAACGAAAGGAAGGCUGGGAAGGAAACAUGGAAGACUUACGUCCAUGACCACCAACAUAGAAGAUGGCAUCGAAAUCGCUGGAUUUGACAUCGGAGAGCUUCACAGUGUUGUGCCAGAUACUCUCGUUUUCCUUCAGAAAAGCGGAAGAUACAGCAUCGCCGGCGAAGGCCGUGACAGAGGCAGGAUCUAGAGGAGCUGGCCCUCCUUUUGGAGAGGCAAUGACGAGAUCGACCUUUCCCUUGAGAACCUCGUAGGGAUGAGCUAAUUCGGGCUGUUAAAAGAGGUCAGAAUUGAAUCAUUGCAUAUCGAAAAGAGGGGCCCAUACCAAGUACCAACCGGUAGGAUUACCAGUGGCAGGAAUUUUGUCCUGCGAUGUGAGAACGAAGAGCACUUUUGGGGCCAUUUUGAACAAGUUGUGUGCGGGUUUGCGGAGGGGACUGUUGAUUGUAGAAGAAUCGAGGUUUGAGA
Molecule: small RNA, 1922 nt
Filed under: Histoplasma capsulatum
Lineage: Eukaryota; Fungi; Ascomycota; Eurotiomycetes; Onygenales; Ajellomycetaceae
Also listed under: 1 other name
Description: hypothetical RNA
Source: RNAcentral